UCCGGUUUGACACCGGCAGUCUCGCUAGAGUCCUCAGCAUUACCUGUUAGCAACUAGCGACAGGGGUUGCGCUCGUUAAGGGACUUAACCCAACACUUCACAGCACGAGCUGACGACAGCCAUGCAGCACCUGUGUACGUUCCACCCGAAGGUGUCAUUCCACUUUCAUGGAACUAAUCCGUACAUGUCAAGCCUAGGAUAAGGUUCUUCGCGUUGCAUCGAAUUAAGCCACAUGCUCCACCGCUUGUGUGAGCCCCCGUCAAUUCCUUUGAGUUUUAGCCUUGCGACCGUACUCCCCAGGCGGUGCACUUAACACUUUUGCUUCGACCAAGAAUGGUGUCAGAACCUCCUCGAUCUAGUGCACAUCGUUUACGGCGUGGACUA
RNAcentral lists this unclassified non-coding RNA (384 nucleotides) under uncultured Phycisphaeraceae bacterium. RNAcentral describes it as "contains 16S-23S intergenic spacer region". The record is from RNAcentral. Lineage: Bacteria; Pseudomonadati; Planctomycetota; Phycisphaerae; Phycisphaerales; Phycisphaeraceae.